This is a non-coding RNA of Dipodomys ordii (Ord's kangaroo rat), 70 nucleotides long. NCBI's taxonomy places the organism in Eukaryota, Metazoa, Chordata, Mammalia, Rodentia, Heteromyidae. The record is from Rfam.
GGGAAGGUAGCUCAGUGGUAGAGUGCUUGCCUUGCAUGCAUGAGGCCCUGGGUUGAAUUCCUCAGCACCA